GUCUACAGCCAUGCCACCCAGAACGCACCCAAUCUCAGAAGCUAAGCAGGGUUGAGCCUGGUUAGUACUUGCAUGGGAGACCACCUAGAAAUACCAGGUGCUGUAGGUG
Molecule: ribosomal RNA, 109 nt
Filed under: Pteropus alecto (black flying fox)
Lineage: Eukaryota; Metazoa; Chordata; Mammalia; Chiroptera; Pteropodidae
Source: RNAcentral